Molecule: long non-coding RNA, 2566 nt
Filed under: Equus caballus (horse)
Lineage: Eukaryota; Metazoa; Chordata; Mammalia; Perissodactyla; Equidae
Description: lncRNA (ENSECAG00000043719.2)
Source: RNAcentral
CGUUUCUCUCUUGGUUGUGAGGUGAUGCCACCAUUCAGGCAUCACAGCAGAAGCAUUAUGUCCAAAGAAGAGGAGAGGCCUUCCUCUUGUUUAUUAGUGAGAAACCUUUCUCAGGAGGCCCCAGCAGACUUCACCUCUCAGCUCCCAUUUGCCAGAUUGGAUCUCAUGCUGCAAGGGAGCCUGGGAAAGCAAGUGAGACAUCAGAUGAGGCCUGCAAAGAAACACAAGACUGGUUCUGGAGACAUUUCCAACUGAGGGGAAGUCAGAAAGGCCUGGCAGCCCUGGGAACCCAUUCUUUGCUUAUGCCAAGAAAUUGAGUUAGCCUGCUCAGCUUGAGAAAACACUAGAACUUCUGGCAACUGCUCUAAGUGGAUUCUCUCACUCCUCUGAGCUUUGCUCAUAGCCACUGAAUGCAUUAUGUCACAAAGCUAGUUAUAAAAGAUCUUGAGAGCCAAGGGAAGGCUGAUUCAUCUGAUAGGCUAAUUCUGGAGCCUACCUUGAGCCUGGCUUGUGGUAUACUUCCAGGAGGCUUGGCUGAGAAGUUAAAGAAUAAAACAAAACCCGUCAAUAAGAUGAAACCCACCCUUAGCUGUAGAAAUUACAAUUACCUCAGGUUUGCUGGCUGUGAAAGUUUAGAUUUUACUGGAUAUAUUUAUUUUCAGUCUCAGUUUCUUUUCAGGCUUUAGACUAUCGUUCGGUGUGAUUUUUAUGGUUACUUGAAGGGAAGAGGGACCUCCUUUUUUGCCGUAAGAAGUGCUUUAUUUUAUUUGGAAAGUGGGAUCUACUAAUGAAACGUUGGUUGUCCCCCGUGGCUUUAGGGUGAUUUUGGCUUUACCCUAUGACUUUUUUGAGAACUCAGGGCAAUCCCUGACCUUCUCAGUUAACCACAUUUAUAAAAUGGAUGAUGAUAACAGGAAUUUAAACUGGAGGAGGACCGUAGAGAUCAUCUGUUAUAACAGUUCUCAGACUUUUCUUUCUCCAGGACACAUGUAAUGGAUGUUUAGUUUGGGACCUCCCAAAAGCAGACUCAGGGACAAGAAGUUGGGUGCUGGGAAGUGAUGCCAGGAAGCAGCAGCGAGAGAGGGAGAGGUAGAGAGGGAAGGAGGAAGACAAUAAAAGGUGUGCUAAUGGGCUGGCUGCCACCAAGGCCACCUGGGGCUCAGCCAUGUUGGGGACCACUUGACUAUGCCUCAGAAGUGUCCUGCCAAGGGACAGCAAGUCAGGGUAUUUAUCUGCUGACUCUGUCUCUUAUUGGUUGAGGGUUGCCCCUGAGAGCUGAGCUACUUCCCACACCCCAGAGAAAGCCCUCACGUGGAGAAACAGACAGACCUGGGCCCCUGAGGUGGGAGCUGUCAGCAGUUGUAGGAACUGUCCUCUCCAGUUGUAGGCGAGCUCAGACAUGGGUGAGGGCAGCAGUAGUGUCUGCCUCAGUGGGUAACUUAAAGUGACAUAACAGACUUCUGUGGGGGUACCCAUGGUUAUUGUGGUGGUUUUAAAGUCUCAUCUGCAAAUUCUUGACACACCUCCCAUUAAGAGGUGGGGAUCUAUGGCUUCUUUCCCUUGAAUCUAGGCAGGCUUGUGACUGCUUUGAUCAAGAGAUUAUGGUAAAAGUGACCUAUAUGACUUCCAAAGUUAGGUCAUAAAAAGCCAUGCAACUUCCACCGUGGCUGCUGGGACACUUGCAUUUGGAACUUUGAUCUGUUAUGUAAGAAGCCCAGUGACCCUGAGACUGCCAUGGUGGAGUGGCUGUGUGGAGGCUUUCUGGUCAACAGCCGCAGCUGAACUCACAACCAAUGGCUCGCAUCAGCUGCCAGCCAUGGGAGUGAACCAUCUUGGAUGUCUAGCUCCGUUGAACCUUCAGAUUUUUGCAGCCUCAGCCAGCAUCUGACUGCAACCUCUCGUGUGCCCCUCGUUCCUAAGACUGAUUUGAAACCUACAUCUUGCAGAAGUUGAUAAUAAAUCCUUCUUUUGUCAAUGAGAAUAAAAAUUUUGAGAUGAAAAAUGGUCAGUCUGAUGGUUUUCCCUGACUCUGGGUGAGUCAUAAACACUGCACGGCUGGACUUCAGAAAUUGACUGCUAAAAUGGCCCUAAGGAAGAUUUAACUGAGAAGUGAUCAAUUCAGCAACUGCAAAUAGAUAAAGCUUCAUCACAGAUUCUGAAGUGUUUAGACUUCAACGUUCUUCAGGAUUCCUGAAGCGCAACUUCGCACCUUCUGUUUGCAGAGCCCUGUCAACAAUGCUGGGACACUGGUUUGUGAUGUGUUUUGUUCAAAGACUAAUUGAGGUGUUAGGCACAGCUUAAAAGCAGGAAGUACCAAUGGAGAAAGAAAAGGAACAAAAACAAUCAGGGAACUCUGGAAAGCUUACGCACCGUCAAGGCAAAUGGACUCUGCUCACAAUGGACUCUCAAUGCUUGGUGAAAUAGGCAGACAAACACUUAAGAGAAACUCAGAAUCACUUGCAAGGGAGAACAACGGUACUUGCCUUGUAGGGUUGUCAUGAGGACUGAAGAUAAUUCCCUUCAAGUGUUUAGUACCAGACCUGGAAGAUUGUAAAUAAACUCUGAG